Molecule: ribosomal RNA, 515 nt
Filed under: uncultured bacterium
Lineage: Bacteria
Description: partial 16S ribosomal RNA
Rfam family: Bacterial small subunit ribosomal RNA
Source: RNAcentral
GACGAACGCUGGCGGCGUGCCUAAUACAUGCAAGUCGAGCGAUGAUUAAAGAUAGCUUGCUAUUUUUAUGAAGAGCGGCGAACGGGUGAGUAACGCGUGGGAAAUCUGCCGAGUAGCGGGGGACAACGUUUGGAAACGAACGCUAAUACCGCAUAACAAUGAGAAUCGCAUGAUUCUUAUUUGAAAGAAGCAAUUGCUUCACUACUUGGUGAUCCCGCGUUGUAGUAGCUAGUUGGUAGUGUAAAGGACUACCAAGGCGAUGAUACAUAGCCGACCUGAGAGGGUGAUGGGCCCCACUGGGACGGAGACACGGCCCAGACUCCGACGGGAGGCAGCAGUAGGGAAUCUUCGGCAAUGGGGGCAACCCUGACCGAGCAACGCCGCGUGAGUGAAGAAGGUUUUCGGAUCGUAAAACUCUGUUGUUAGAGAAGAACGUUAAGUAGAGUGGAAAAUUACUUAAGUGACGGUAUCUAACCAGAAAGGGACGGCUAACUACGUGCCAGCCGCCGCCGUAA